GUCGUUGUCAACCUGCAGGGACACGAGGGCAGCCAAUCAGGAAAUCAGAAAACACAGCGACCAGCCAAUCAGAAAACACAGCAGAGUCUUGGAGACGCAACAAUUAACACGCCUGCCCGGGUCAACGCAACCUCAAAUACAACUGGAGCAGGCACGGCACACUUGUUUCGCAGGAGACCCUGUCCCCAGUCUGAAGAGAUGUACUGUUAUCUACCUAUUCUGGGUCUAGGAAGAACCAACUGGAUAGAGAGACACCAUCGCCAGCCCUGUAUGCAGGACAGAGAAGACUGGACUGGGGUGAGCAGGGAAGUGUCUGUAUAGCGAUGUACCUGCUGUGCGUCUGGGCUGCUAGACUGGUUAGCUAUAUGCAGGGAUGCAGGGACAGGGCAGCCCCGGUGACUUACCGGCCAGCUUGCGGUUGUCCAGUUUGAGGCGGUUGAGCGGGUUGGUGCCGUACAGGAGGACGUGGCGCUCAGAGUGCACGGACUGCAGCUCCUCCAGCGUGGCCUUCCUGCCCCGGAUACUCUGAGAGGGGAAGGGGGAGAGGGGGUUACACGCGGCCGGCUGUCUUUUUAUUCACUUCAGUGUUUAGUAUCUCAGAUAGAGGGAGAGGCGGUCAACGCUGAGCUGGACGCUGUGGAGAUGAGCGCGUGUGCAGACCGGACCGGUCAACGCUGAGCCGGACGCUGUGGAGAUGAGCGCGUGUGCGGUCCGGACCGGUCAACGCUGAGCCAGACGCUGUGGAGAUGAGCGCGUGUGCGGUCUGGACCGGUCAACGCAGAGCCGGACGCUGUGGAGAUGAGCGCGUGUGCGGUCUGGACCGGUCAACGCAGAGCCGGACGCUGGCGGUUAAAGUUUGGAUCCUCGGAUUCCGCUCCUGACACGGGAACAGAAGCUCUGGAAUGGCCGGGAUGGGCUGCUCUACUUCCACACUGCUUCUGCUGCAGGACCGCGCUGCUGAAGGGCUUUACCCUACUGGAUCCGUUCCGUCCUGCGUUUAAAACGCGUCAAUUAAUUUAACAAGCGUGUGCAUUCCCUAUUGCACCCUGCACACAGAGUCUGUAACCGUAUGCACAAUGCUGAGGCACCAAAUUUUAU
Long non-coding RNA from Acipenser ruthenus (sterlet), 1098 nucleotides. RefSeq lists it as uncharacterized. The transcript is spliced from 3 exons. NCBI's taxonomy places the organism in Eukaryota, Metazoa, Chordata, Actinopteri, Acipenseriformes, Acipenseridae. The record is from RefSeq and is a predicted model, not a curated record.